This 465-nucleotide ribosomal RNA is filed under the name uncultured bacterium. RNAcentral describes it as "partial 16S ribosomal RNA". It matches the Rfam family "Bacterial small subunit ribosomal RNA", at positions 28 to 507 of the family's 1533-position model. The record is from RNAcentral.
GACGAACGCUGGCGGCGUGCUUAACGCAUGCCAGUCGAACGGAAAGGCCCUGCUUGCAGGGUACUCGAGUGGCGAACGGGUGAGUAACACGUGGGUGAUCUGCCCUGCACUUCGGGAUAAGCCUGGGAAACUGGGUCUAAUACCGGAUAGGAGCCAUUUUUAGUGUGAUGGUUGGAAAGUUUUUUCGGUGUAGGAUGAGCUCGCGGCCUAUCAGCUUGUUGGUGGGGUAAUGGCCUACCAAGGCGGCGACGGGUAGCCGGCCUGAGAGGGUGGACGGCCACAUUGGGACUGAGAUACGGCCCAGACUCCUACGGGAGGCAGCAGUGGGGAAUAUUGCACAAUGGGCGCAAGCCUGAUGCAGCGACGCCGCGUGGGGGAUGACGGCCUUCGGGUUGUAAACUCCUUUCGCUAGGGACGAAGCUUUUUGUGACGGUACCUAGAUAAGAAGCACCGGCUAACUACGUG